This 95-nucleotide ribosomal RNA is filed under the name Streptococcus pyogenes. RNAcentral describes it as "partial 16S ribosomal RNA". It matches the Rfam family "Bacterial small subunit ribosomal RNA", at positions 1 to 89 of the family's 1533-position model. The record is from RNAcentral. Lineage: Bacteria; Bacillati; Bacillota; Bacilli; Lactobacillales; Streptococcaceae.
CAAAUUAAAGAGAGUUUGAUCCUGGCUCAGGACGAACGCUGGCGGCGUGCCUAAUACAUGCAAGUAGAACGCUGUGAACUGGAGCUUGCACCGGU